AGUCGAACGAGAAAUUCCGACUUCGGUUGGAAGAGUAAAGUGGCGCACGGGUGAGUAACACGUGGGUAACCUGCCCUUGAAUUUGGGAUAACUUCGCGAAAGCGUUGCUAAUACCAGAUAUUAUUAAUUUAGCUCCGGCUUUUUUAAUGAAAGGUGACCUCUUCUUGAAAGUUGCCGUUCAGUGGAUGGGCUCGCGUACCAUUAGCUAGUUGGUGGGGUAAUGGCCUACCAAGGCUGCGAUGGUUAGCUGGUCUGAGAGGAUGAUCAGCCACACUGGAACUGAAACACGGUCCAGACUCCUACGGGAGGCAGCAGUGAGGAAUUUUGCGCAAUGGGGGAAACCCUGACGCAGCAACGCCGCGUGAGUGAAGAAGGCUCUCGGGUCGUAAAGCUCUGUCAGAUAGGAAAAAAGUUCAUAUGUAAAUAGCUUAUGAAUCUGAUGGUACUAUCAGAGGAAGCACCGGCUAACUCCGUGCCAGCAGCCGCGGUAAUACGGAGGGUGCAAGCGUUGAUUCGGAAUUACUGGG
Molecule: ribosomal RNA, 527 nt
Filed under: uncultured bacterium
Lineage: Bacteria
Description: bacterial SSU rRNA
Rfam family: Bacterial small subunit ribosomal RNA
Source: RNAcentral